RNAcentral lists this ribosomal RNA (559 nucleotides) under Kalmusia variispora. RNAcentral describes it as "eukaryotic LSU rRNA". The stretch from base 209 to 362 matches the Rfam family "5.8S ribosomal RNA". Lineage: Eukaryota; Fungi; Ascomycota; Dothideomycetes; Pleosporales; Didymosphaeriaceae. The record is from RNAcentral.
AACAAGGUUUCCGUAGGUGAACCUGCGGAAGGAUCAUUAUCGAUGGCCGCGCCGUGAGCGCCCUGGUGCAGGAUCGGCCGGCCACUGACCACACCCUUACUUUACGAGCACCUUUCGUUCUCCUUCGGCGGGGCAACCCGCCGCUGGACCCUCAUCAAACCUUUUUUUGCAUCUAGCAUUACCUGUUCUGAUAAAAAACAAUCGUAACAACUUUCAACAAUGGAUCUCUUGGCUCUGGCAUCGAUGAAGAACGCAGCGAAAUGCGAUAAGUAGUGUGAAUUGCAGAAUUCAGUGAAUCAUCGAAUCUUUGAACGCACAUUGCGCCCCUUGGUAUUCCAUGGGGCAUGCCUGUUCGAGCGUCAUCUACACCCUCAAGCUCUGCUUGGUGUUGGGCGUCUGUCCCGCCUCUGCGCGCGGACUCGCCCCAAAGGCAUUGGCAGCGGUCCACGGCCCCUCUCGCGCAGCACAUUGCGCUUCUCGAGGCGGCCCGGCCCGCAUCCACGAAGCCCACAUUACCGUCUUUGACCUCGGAUCAGGUAGGGAUACCCGCUGAACUUAA